UUAAAUUGAAGAGUUUGAUCAUGGCUCAGAUUGAACGCUGGCGGCAGGCCUAACACAUGCAAGUCGAACGGUAACAGGAAU
This 81-nucleotide ribosomal RNA is filed under the name Escherichia coli. RNAcentral describes it as "partial 16S ribosomal RNA". It matches the Rfam family "Bacterial small subunit ribosomal RNA", at positions 1 to 79 of the family's 1533-position model. RNAcentral also lists the same sequence under 2 other names. The record is from RNAcentral. Lineage: Bacteria; Pseudomonadati; Pseudomonadota; Gammaproteobacteria; Enterobacterales; Enterobacteriaceae.